This is a non-coding RNA of Schizosaccharomyces pombe (fission yeast), 542 nucleotides long. The record is from the annotation of a GenBank genome assembly. NCBI's taxonomy places the organism in Eukaryota, Fungi, Ascomycota, Schizosaccharomycetes, Schizosaccharomycetales, Schizosaccharomycetaceae.
UCUUUUUGUUUUUAUUUUUCUUUGUUUUUCGGGCAUUGGACUCUUUGGGGGAAUGUAGAGAAAUGACAUCUUGAGACAACUCAUUAACUUUCCUCUUUUUGGAUUCCUUUGCCGGGGCCUUCACCUCCAUUUUACGGGAUGCCUCCGCCUUUUUAGACACUAAUUCUUGUUUACGACGUUCUCUUUCUGUAAGCUCCGAUGUGUCCGUUAUUUUAGUACCGUUUACAUCAACCUCUUCAUUCUUAGAAACAUCUUUUUCAUCCACAUUUUCCUCUCCUAGUUCCUUAUUAAAUAAUCCAAAGCUAGCUCUUCCUUGUACUAAAUUAGGUUCAUUUGAAUGACUUUCAAGAUCGUUUUCUUCAAUCAGACCCCCAUAACCCGAUUCAUAUUCUACAUUACGAGUCAUCUUUUGGGGUAAAAAAUCAACUUUUCCUGCAAGACUCCAAUGCUCAUCUGUAACAAUGUUCUUGCUUAACUCUUCUUCUGCUUGCUUCGGGUCAAUGCCUCGAGCGCGUUGCAUAAACUACAAAAUACAGGUUAGU